RNAcentral lists this ribosomal RNA (510 nucleotides) under uncultured bacterium. RNAcentral's name for it is "bacterial SSU rRNA". It matches the Rfam family "Bacterial small subunit ribosomal RNA", at positions 791 to 1300 of the family's 1533-position model. The record is from RNAcentral.
UAGUCCACGCCCUAAACGAUGUCAACUAGACGUUGGGCUCAUAAAGGAGCUUAGUGUCGAAGCUAACGCGUUAAGUUGACCGCCUGGGGAGUACGGCCGUAAGGUUGAAACUCAAAGGAAUUGACGGGGGCCCGCACAAGCGGUGGAGCAUGUGGUUUAAUUCGAUGCAACGCGAAGAACCUUACCAGGUCUUGACAUCCAGAGAACUUUCCAGAGAUGGAUUGGUGCCUUCGGGAGCUCUGUGACAGGUGCUGCAUGGCUGUCGUCAGCUCGUGUCGUGAGAUGUUGGGUUAAGUCCCGUAACGAGCGCAACCCUUGUCCUUAGUUGCCAGCGCGUAAUGGCGGGAACUCUAAGGAGACUGCCGGUGACAAACCGGAGGAAGGUGGGGAUGACGUCAAGUCCUCAUGGCCCUUACAGGCUGGGCUACACACGUGCUACAAUGGCGAUGACAGUGGGCAGCGACCCCGCAAGGGUGAGCUAAUCUCCAAAAGUCGUCUCAGUUCGGAUUG